Molecule: ribosomal RNA, 324 nt
Filed under: uncultured eukaryote
Lineage: Eukaryota
Description: partial 18S ribosomal RNA
Rfam family: Eukaryotic small subunit ribosomal RNA
Source: RNAcentral
CCCUUAGAUGUUCUGGGCUGCACGCGCGCUACACUGAAGCUAUCAACACGUUUUCCCUCCCUGAGAAGGGCGGGUAACCUUUUGAAUCAGCUUCGUGGUAGGGAUCGGGGCUUGCCAUUGUUCCCCGUGAACCAGGAAUUCCUAGUAGACGCGAGUCAUAAGCUCGCAUCGAUUAAGUCCCUGCCCUUUGUACACACCGCCCGUCGCUACUACCGAUUGAACGUUUUAGUGAGGCAUUUGGACCGACGCAUCUCAGUUUAACCGCUGGUUUGUGUUGGAAAGACUUCCAAACUUGAGCGUUUAGAGGAAGUAAAAGUCGUAACA